UACGUAGGUGGCAAGCGUUGUCCGGAUUUACUGGGCGUAAAGGGCGUGCAGGCGGUCUGUUAAGUGCAGGGUGAAAGCUCCCGGCUCAACUGGGAGAGGUCCUUGCAUACUGGCGGACUUGAGGGGGGUAGAGGAAAGUGGAAUUCCCGGUGUAGUGGUGAUAUGCGUAGAUAUCGGGAGGAACACCUGUGGCGAAGGCGGCUUUCUGGACCAAUAUUGACGCUGAGGAGCGAAAGCUAGGGGAGCAAACGGG
RNAcentral lists this ribosomal RNA (253 nucleotides) under uncultured bacterium. RNAcentral describes it as "partial 16S ribosomal RNA". It matches the Rfam family "Bacterial small subunit ribosomal RNA", at positions 524 to 776 of the family's 1533-position model. The record is from RNAcentral.